RNAcentral lists this ribosomal RNA (465 nucleotides) under Vreelandella stevensii. RNAcentral describes it as "partial 16S ribosomal RNA". It matches the Rfam family "Bacterial small subunit ribosomal RNA", at positions 338 to 795 of the family's 1533-position model. The record is from RNAcentral. Lineage: Bacteria; Pseudomonadati; Pseudomonadota; Gammaproteobacteria; Oceanospirillales; Halomonadaceae.
CCUACGGGAGGCAGCAGUGGGGAAUAUUGGACAAUGGGGGGAACCCUGAUCCAGCCAUGCCGCGUGUGUGAAGAAGGCCCUCGGGUUGUAAAGCACUUUCAGUGAGGAAGAACGCCUGGUGGUUAAUACCCAUCAGGAAAGACAUCACUCACAGAAGAAGCACCGGCUAACUCCGUGCCAGCAGCCGCGGUAAUACGGAGGGUGCGAGCGUUAAUCGGAAUUACUGGGCGUAAAGCGCGCGUAGGUGGCUUGAUAAGCCGGUUGUGAAAGCCCCGGGCUCAACCUGGGAACGGCAUCCGGAACUGUCAAGCUAGAGUGCAGGAGAGGAAGGUAGAAUUCCCGGUGUAGCGGUGAAAUGCGUAGAGAUCGGGAGGAAUACCAGUGGCGAAGGCGGCCUUCUGGACUGACACUGACACUGAGGUGCGAAAGCGUGGGUAGCGAACAGGAUUAGAUACCCCGGUAGUC